CAAGCCCUGGGCAGAUAGAUCCGGUGUUUCCCUGUUCUAUUCCGGUCACGGUAACGGCGUUGACGGUUUCCGUUUUCUCAGGUGGUGUCAUUGAUAGCAUCGAAUCCACUCUCUGCAUCAAAUCUUCACCGAAAACUAUAGAUUUAUGGUUUUCAAAAAAUUUCUUCCAGAAGUAUUUGCAGUUAUGAUAGACGCCAAAGCAUUGGCGAAACCAAAGAGAGCUCAUUCUCAACACCAUAGGGAAAAACCUCAUUCGAUUAAAAAAUCAAACCCUCCAUCAUCAACCGGUGUUAACGAACCUGUAAAUUCGAAGAAGCAGACAUUCAAACAAAUCAGAGAGAAAACUUAGCAGGCGCAGUGUAUAUCUGCAUUACCAUCGAAUCGGAAUCGUAAUGAGGAAGAAUUUAAUUCAGGUUCUGAAGAUCUAAGUCAAGAUCCCGAUAUUAUUGUGCCCAAGAGUAAAGGAGCGGACUUCCGUCACCUGAUCGCUGAGGCUCAAUCUCAAUCCCACUCAAAUACUCAUUAGGAUACCCUGUCUUCUUUAGAUGAAAUUCUCCCCGGAGAUUUCGAUCAAUUUGUAGGUUCUAUGCUUGUAAUCAGGGGAGAGGGUAUUUUAUCAUGGACUGGUAGUGGAUGACAGUGCAAGUGCAAAUCCUGAGCGUUCUGAGAGUUCAAAGCUAAACAACGAUCAGGAAUCUCAGCAAAUGCAAAAAGGGGCAGCAAAAAUUACUGAAGAAAUAAUUCUGAACGAUUUACCUGAGAAGGUCAACUUUGCUGCUAAAAUUGUCGAGGAUAAGUCAUUUGGCCCUGGCAGCCAGCCCAUAGAUGCAAUAUUGUCUAACAGAGGAUUGGGUUCGAUGCCUGAAGUUCAAGGUGAUUCUAUUUCCGGUCAUUAUGGUGAGUUCAGUGAGAGUAGAGGUCUGGACAGCCGUAAUCCUACAUCUGUCUCCAACAAAAAGUGCCAACAUUCGAAGCGGCCGCUGUAGAGGCCGAAUUGGAUAUGCUUCUUGAUUCUUUCAUUGAUACUAAAAUUCUCGAUACUUGUGGGUCAAAGCUCCACCCAUUACACCCAGUUUUGAUGAUUCACUUGAUGAUUUGUUACAAGCUACUUCAACAGUAAACCGAGGUAUCGUUUCAUCAAAAGCUGCAGCAGUUAAUUCAGCUUCUGAAGAUUUACUUCUUGAUUUAUUACAACAAACAUCCAAAAUGGUAAGCCCGAAUGGAUUGUCUGAGCAAAAGGUUCCAAAAGCUGCUUGGGAGAACAAUAUUCAGUUUUCAUCCUCACAACAGGUCACAAAGUCAAAAGUCUUGGAUGAUUUCGAUUCAUGGUUGGAUACUAUUUGAUGGUUUGUAAUAAAAGGAAGUUCCAAAUGGAUUUACUUCUUGAAGAUUUACUUCUUGAUUUAUUACAACAAACAUCCAAAAUGGUAAGCCCGAAUGGAUUGUCUGAGCAAAAGGUUCCAAAAGCUGCUUGGGAGAACAAUAUUCAGUCUUCAUCCUCACAACAGGUCACAAAGUCAAAAGUCUUGGAUGAUUUCGAUUCAUGGUUGGAUACUAUUUGAUGGUUUGUAAUACAAGGAAGUUCCACUCAUUGAAUCAAAUUCGGCUUAUCAUUUUGGUAGGGUAAUAUAGAAAGUUAUUUUUGUAACCUGGUGAUGGAAAAUAUUCCUUUGGACAUCCAUAUAUUCCUUUGGACAUUGCGCUCAUGUUGCAAUCAGAUGACACAUAUCUUGUCAAAAUCCAAUUAUUUCGUGACAUAAUUCAAAUUCUGGGUGAAAAUACGACUAAGGAAGCAAUGAACUUUGUAACAGGACCUACUUGAACUCCUUCCGAUAUAUUCUCAGCUUCAAGGGAAUAGUAAUCUUCCAUUUGGUUUUGUGAACUUGGAAACUUAACAACAUCAACCAGAGAUCAGUUUAUAUCAGCAGCAGCCGAUGGUAGACCCCGACAACCAUCAAAUUGGAUAUUCAUCGUGAUCUGCAUCUGCCAGCAGCCUCGCCUGAAAGUCAAAGCUUCAUCUAGUUCAACCAGCUUUGAAGCUUAGGGACAUCUUAUGGUUAAU
Hibiscus syriacus is the source of this 2062-nucleotide long non-coding RNA. RefSeq lists it as uncharacterized. Lineage: Eukaryota; Viridiplantae; Streptophyta; Magnoliopsida; Malvales; Malvaceae. The transcript has 3 exons. The record is from RefSeq and is a predicted model, not a curated record.